Molecule: ribosomal RNA, 780 nt
Filed under: uncultured Rhodococcus sp.
Lineage: Bacteria; Bacillati; Actinomycetota; Actinomycetes; Mycobacteriales; Nocardiaceae
Description: bacterial SSU rRNA
Rfam family: Bacterial small subunit ribosomal RNA
Source: RNAcentral
CUAACACAUGCAAGUCGAGCGGCAGCGCGGGGGCAACCUGGCGGCGAGCGGCGGACGGGUGAGGAAUACAUCGGAAUCUACCCAGUCGUGGGGGAUAAGCCUGGGAAACUGGGUCUAAUACCGGAUAGGACCUUCUGCCGCAUGGUGGGGGGUGGAAAGGUUUUCCGGUGCAGGAUGGGCCCGCGGCCUAUCAGCUUGUUGGUGGGGUAACGGCCCACCAAGGCGACGACGGGUAGCCGGCCUGAGAGGGCGACCGGCCACACUGGGACUGAGACACGGCCCAGACUCCUACGGGAGGCAGCAGUGGGGAAUAUUGCACAAUGGGCGCAAGCCUGAUGCAGCGACGCCGCGUGAGGGAUGACGGCCUUCGGGUUGUAAACCUCUUUCAGUACCGACGAAGCGCAAGUGACGGUAGGUACAGAAGAAGCACCGGCCAACUACGUGCCAGCAGCCGCGGUAAUACGUAGGGUGCGAGCGUUGUCCGGAAUUACUGGGCGUAAAGAGCUCGUAGGCGGUUUGUCGCGUCGUCUGUGAAAACCCGCAGCUCAACUGCGGGCUUGCAGGCGAUACGGGCAGACUUGAGUACUGCAGGGGAGACUGGAAUUCCUGGUGUAGCGGUGAAAUGCGCAGAUAUCAGGAGGAACACCGGUGGCGAAGGCGGGUCUCUGGGCAGUAACUGACGCUGAGGAGCGAAAGCGUGGGUAGCGAACAGGAUUAGAUACCCUGGUAGUCCACGCCGUAAACGGUGGGCGCUAGGUGUGGGUUUCCUUCCACGGGAUC